GUUAAGGGGGCUCAGAUCAGUGACUAAGCCCGCCCUGAAAGGGGUAUGGGUCUGUGGGGCCCUUCGGCCCCUGAUCAGGUCCAAUUAGAAUACCCUCGUUCUGCCCUUCGUAAAGUUGUAUGUGAAUUGCGCGCGCCUAUCCCUUUUAAUUUUCAUAUCGUCCUCCGAGAAUUACAACGAGAGAGGGAGAGAUAAAACAUUAAAACUUAGAGGGUUUUGUGGAUCGCCAUCGCCAACGGCAUGCUCUGCUCUUCUGUACAAGCCUCCGAUCUGUCAAUCUCCCGUAAUGUCGAGGAAACCUCAUCGGUAAGUCGCACGUUGAGAUCCAUAAGGAUGUGGAAGCGUUAGUCCGAUCUGUGUAAGAGACCUUGGUUGCGCAACCUUAAGACCUUCCACGUUGAAUCAUGAAGUGACGUCGAAGCGGCUGAAUAAGAUUCACAUAAUAGCAUCCCAGUAAGUCAUCAAUGAAGCCUAGAAAGAAAAAAAUAUUUGGGCAGAUCAUUUGCAGUCAGGAAGCAAAAAAGCUGGAGAUGAGCACAUAAAGUAUGCCGUGUUUCAGGCGAAGGGUUGUUUUGCUUAUUUCCAAUCCUGCAGAGUUCAUAGAAGAGACACAAGACACUGUAUCUCAUGGCAUACUUGUCUCAUCUCUUUCUCUACAGUUCUUUAAACUUGUUGUGAGACUAAAAUUUGUUCGAGAGCCUUAUUUUAAAGCCCCUUAUCAAACAACUACGGCUUCUACGAGCACUCUUGAUUCCAACGAUCGUUAGUCUGUCUGUUUAUCAAUGACUCAAUGGAUGGAAAAAGGCCCAUGGCUUACCGUUUAAUCUCGUGACAAAGGACCUGAGUUGCUUCACUAAACACAUCACUCCUUUUGAUCCAGCUCCUAAUAAAAUGCAAGGCAUAUUACCUGUUCACUUGGACAUUGAUCCCCACUGAAGCAUUAUACGUUGUGACCCCUCUAUAAUUUUGUGUUGCUGGUUUACAAUUUUGUCAUAUUGGUAUUCAUUCUAACUGAUACGCGGUUGAAGUUUGCAACAUGUGAUACAAUUGUAGAGGUGAUCUACAAGCAUACUAUCUCCACACCAAAGAAUCAAUGCAGAAAAACCCGGAGCUGCUGUUGUUUUGCUGACAAUCUUGUCUCUUUCCCCAACAAUGUCAAAGGGGCAACUGUUGUUGAUUGAAGAAGCUAGGUUUGUGGGGGGCUCUUGCUGUGGCCUAUGGGUUCUUCGGAGUCAUGAUUGGUGCUGGAACUCAGUGGGCAUCUUCGAUUGAGGCAUUCAAAGUUUUAGUUGGAAUGUAAGUUCCUUUCUAUAUUUUCUGAAUUCACUGACAUCUAUUUUCCGUUCUUUACGGUGGUUAAAUUUCUACCCUAAUGAAUCUCUGUGAUUUCAGACUGACCACAGGUGGCAUACUCUUGCCUAGUCUAGCAUAGUUUUAGAACUUUAAAUGAUCAACAAAGUAAAUUCUCACCGUCAUAAUUUUAUAAAAUUAAAAAACUAAAGAAUUUCAAGCUACUUUGCUAACCUUUCUAGAAAACGGACUUUUAUUCAA
Tripterygium wilfordii is the source of this 1551-nucleotide RNA transcript. RefSeq lists it as uncharacterized. The transcript has 6 exons. Lineage: Eukaryota; Viridiplantae; Streptophyta; Magnoliopsida; Celastrales; Celastraceae. The record is from RefSeq and is a predicted model, not a curated record.